This 94-nucleotide small RNA is filed under the name Salmonella enterica subsp. enterica serovar Infantis. RNAcentral's name for it is "partial RtT sRNA". It matches the Rfam family "RtT RNA", at positions 1 to 93 of the family's 130-position model. Rfam says of the family: This family represents a bacterial cis-regulatory element known as RtT RNA. The exact function of RtT is unknown although it is thought that it may be involved in changing the cellular response in relation to amino acid starvation. RNAcentral also lists the same sequence under 2 other names. The record is from RNAcentral. Lineage: Bacteria; Pseudomonadati; Pseudomonadota; Gammaproteobacteria; Enterobacterales; Enterobacteriaceae.
AUAUCUCUCCGUACGGGAAGGAUGAGAAGCUUCGAUUAAGGUUCGAUUCGAGCGCAGCGAGAAAGCGUUGCCGCAGGCAACGACCCGAAGGGCG